Long non-coding RNA from Sphaeramia orbicularis (orbiculate cardinalfish), 413 nucleotides. RefSeq lists it as uncharacterized. The record is from RefSeq and is a predicted model, not a curated record. Lineage: Eukaryota; Metazoa; Chordata; Actinopteri; Kurtiformes; Apogonidae. The transcript has 3 exons.
CAGCUCAGCUGGGAAGACCUGCUCACCUGGAACAGCUGCAGGACUCACCUGUACAGAUCCAGGUGGGGUCAGGUUGGUGGGACAGCCGAGCCGCUGUGCUGGUACUUUGGAGAUCCAACACCAGGGACAGUGGAGACCAGUAGCAGACCUGAGUAAAGACUGGGACCUGAAGUCUGGAUCUGCUGUGUGUCAGUAUCUGGACUGUGGAUCAGUUGUUUCAGUCAACAACACAGAUGAUUCUCCAGACAGACCUGUGUGGUUGGUCUCAGUUCCUUGUGUAAAGCUGACAUCUGGAUCCAGGGACUGUGUUGAACUACAUGAUCCCUUUAAUCGCUCCUCUGCUGUGGACGUGGUGUGUUCAGAUCUGCUGCCUCAGCCCAACAUCUCCCUGUCUGACGGGGUCUUUGAGGUCU